Molecule: long non-coding RNA, 526 nt
Organism: Girardinichthys multiradiatus
Lineage: Eukaryota; Metazoa; Chordata; Actinopteri; Cyprinodontiformes; Goodeidae
Exons: 4
Source: RefSeq, a predicted model, not a curated record
ACGACGUUGACCACUUCAGCAUAGACAGAACUGAAGAGCAUCGCAGUGCGACAAGCCACCCUGAAGAUCUCAUCAAGGAUCCAAUCAGCGCUUGGAAAUGAAAUGCACUCUCCUCUCUGGUUAUGAUGAUGGGUGGGUGCUCUUGGUUCCACUAACGGGGAAAUGAAUGAGCAUUUUAGGAGGAAGCUGGAUAUCCUAAUAAUCAGUAUUUAGAGAGGACCACACUGGACCCCUGGAAGGCCUCCACACCCAAUAGGAAGCUCCCCAAUCUCCACAGGGACCCAGCAGACGGUCCACCAUGGUUCUCAAAUGGGAACAAAGCGUUCCCCAGUCCAAAGUGGUUAAACUGUCGUUUCAAAUUGUUCAGACACCGUGAUUACCGGCAUGGGAGGAAUUAUAUAUUUAGCUUUAUGUCCAUCGCCAUUUCCUCCCCCCACCCUGAUCUGAAGUGACUAGCCCAGUUGUGCUUUCGAUAUUACUAUCUCUGAGGGGUUUAAACCAUCCCCCAGGAGACGGGAGUAAUCAA